This 253-nucleotide ribosomal RNA is filed under the name uncultured bacterium. RNAcentral describes it as "partial 16S ribosomal RNA". It matches the Rfam family "Bacterial small subunit ribosomal RNA", at positions 524 to 776 of the family's 1533-position model. The record is from RNAcentral.
UACGUAGGGGGCGAGCGUUGUCCGGAAUCAUUGGGCGUAAAGAGCGUGUAGGCGGUCCGGUAAGUCGGCUGUGAAAGUCCAAGGCUCAACCUUGGGAUGCCGGUCGAUACUGCCGGACUAGAGUUCGGAAGAGGCGAGUGGAAUUCCCGGUGUAGCGGUGAAAUGCGCAGAUAUCGGGAGGAACACCUAUGGCGAAGGCAGCUCGCUGGGACGUUACUGACGCUGAGACGCGAAAGCGUGGGGAGCAAACAGG